RNAcentral lists this long non-coding RNA (821 nucleotides) under Mus musculus (house mouse). RNAcentral's name for it is "long non-coding RNA chr17:37081224-37082045". Lineage: Eukaryota; Metazoa; Chordata; Mammalia; Rodentia; Muridae. The record is from RNAcentral.
GACUCUAGGGUAUCUCAUUCAGGGGGUAGUUAGUCUUUUCAUCUUAACGUAUCUUUAAGUAGGACAGCAUUGGUGAGGGGCAGCCUCCUAUCCUGGUGAAUGAUAGUUCUAUUUGGGUUAGCUUCUAAGACAGGGGCCUAUACUAUGCUUUUGUGACCUUACAGUGUCUUUUGCCAUUCCAAUAAAACUUUACAAAAACAGUAGUGGCCACACAUGGCCACAGACUGGUUUGUUGACCUCUGCCCUACACCAUGACCUGUCUACGAGGCUUUGGAUUCUGUAAUAAGGAGUCCAAGAGACGGCAGGGGCAUGGGACAUUUGGGGAAGAUGGUCAGAAGCCUCUUUUGCAAGCAAACUGACUUUGUCAGGGUCUAGCACUAGUAGAGGAAAGCUAGAGGUAUUGGGGAGGGGAGGCCCGCCAAAGUCACGGUUCUUUCAUGGACUGCAGGCUUCCAGAACCAAGAUGUUCUCCUUUCAGGGGCAUUAGAGCAACCUGGAGCACUUGUUUGAAAAGUUCUAGACCAGUGCUGGAGAGAUGACUCCAUAGUUAAGAGCACUUGUUGCUCUUGCUGGGGGCUCAGGUUUGGUUCCCAGCAUCACACGCAGGUCCCCUGCAGGCAUCAGGCACACCUGCGGGGCAUAUACAUGCAGGCCAGAUUGCAAGGUGGCACAGGCCUUUAAUUCCAGCACUUGAGAAGCAGAAGCAGGCAGAGCUCCGUGAGUCUGAGGCCAGCCUGGUCUGCAUAUCAAGCUUCAGAGCAUCCAAGCCUACACAAUGCUGUAUCAACAAAACCCAACAAGAACGAAAAACAAAAUAUCCC